GUUGUUCCUAGAGGCGUUGCAGGUAUGGCUGCUGUGUCACAUAUUCGUCAGUAAGUAAGUGGCAGAGAAGAGAGAGGCUAUGUCUACAGUCAGCUUUUUGACUGGUGAACAUCUGAAUUAGUCGCCUAAGAGU
Molecule: small nucleolar RNA, 133 nt
Organism: Meriones unguiculatus (Mongolian gerbil)
Lineage: Eukaryota; Metazoa; Chordata; Mammalia; Rodentia; Muridae
Source: Ensembl